Molecule: unclassified non-coding RNA, 3584 nt
Filed under: Hevea brasiliensis (rubber tree)
Lineage: Eukaryota; Viridiplantae; Streptophyta; Magnoliopsida; Malpighiales; Euphorbiaceae
Source: RNAcentral
AAAACCCUUUCCAGCUCAAGAUCCGACCCACAUGAGAGGAGGAACCAACUCCCAGCAAACGCAGCGCUGCAUUUCUAGUUUUCUACAGCCGGAAUGGAGGCAAAUGACCUAGAAAAUAUGAAGUAGACGGAUGAAGCACAGAGGGAAAAACUGUCGCCAAGGUUUACCAAGCAAACCGAUUAAAUCUCCAGGAGAUCAAGUUGUGAGCAGGACUAGGAGAGCACCAAAAAUACCUUGCCAUGGUCUAUAACAUGAUCUGAAUCAAGGGACACUGAUCAAUAACGAGGCAAAUCUCUCUUAGCUGUGAUGUCUUGCUCUUUACUUUAACCUAGGAAGACAAAUAAUGAAAGACAGACGAAGAAGACAAAAAAAAUUCACAGGCCAGUGGACAAAGCAAAACAAUCUUUUUGUUGUUUUAGAUAGACGCAUCCAGCAUAGGCCAAAUUAGAGCGUCAGGUCUAAAUUCUAUAGUACAGAUACACGUGAAUUCAAUUGGAAAGUUAAUGUUCUCUUCUCUUCGCACUCUGCAAACAUCAGUUUUUCCAUUUCUGGUUCCAUAACAAUUUCCAGAGCAUCUCAUCAUGUUGGGUUCUGCUUACAUAUUGUAAACGUUAUGGGUGUAUUGCAAUAUUAUUAGAAAAUUAAUAGUGGGAGGCAAUGGUAAGUAAUUUGAACAUAACUACAUCCCUAAAUUCAGUUCAUUAGCUAAAGAUAUAUCACUUGACAGAGUUAGACCUGCCCCCCGACCUAAUGACUAAAAGUUCAUUGCAACUCCCAACAAAUUACAACGAAGCCGAACAACCCCAACGUUUACAACAGAUUCAGUCCUCAAGAAAAGACAACGAAGUUGGGCAACAAUUAGCAAUUGAGCUUUCAACAUCAGCUGGUUAGUGCGGAAGUGAGGGAUCCAAGUCUAGCCUCUUGCACGUUGAAAACUGAGGCAAAAUGUCCGUAAUUCUGAAUAUGAGUUAAGGAGAGACAAUAAUUUCAUGUAGUUCCUCCAACACAGAUUCCAUUGUAGGCCUUUGAUUUGGAGAUUCAUGAGUGCAAAGAAGCGCUAAUCUCCCGAGUUUGGCUGCCUCUGAUUCUGAGAACUUUCUUUCAAGAUUUGCAUCAAUAAAGUCUUCGACCCUGAAUGAUUCCACUGCUUGGCGAGUCAUUGUGGUGACUAUACGUUUUCCACUGAGGAGUUGAAGUACAAUCAUGCCAAAUGCAUAGACAUCACUCUUUUCAGUAAAACGGCCAGUAGUUGUGUACUCAGGGGCCAGGUAUCCCAUGGCAGCACUAGCUUUAAGCAUGGAGAAGACAAUGUCAUCUGCCAGCAGUUUGUGCAAGCCUGAAUCUGAGAGCAACGGAUUAUAUCGUCUGUCAAUGAGCACUUUCUCAGCUGAUAUGUUCUGGUGGAAUAGAGCAGAUUUAUUUCCUUUAUGACCAUGUAAAUACCCAAUACCUUUGGCAAUGCCUUUUAUGAUAGAUAUUCUGGCGGACCAUUCAAGAAACCUCCCAUUGCCCUCAUUUAUGUCAAGAUACUGCAACAGGUUUCCAUUUGGGACAAAAUCAUAAAUGAGAAAACACUCCCCCCUUCCUUUUGAACAGCAAAAGCCUCUCAAUCUCACCAGAUUUUCAUGUUUCAAUGAGGUCAAAUUCUUCAAACCCUUCAAAAAAUCAGCUUCAUCAGAUUUACAACUCAUUUUGGUGAUGCACUUUACAGCAACAAUUGACCCAUCUCUUAGGAUUCCCUUGUAGGUGGCUGAGAAAUUACUCUUCCCCAACAAAUUCACCUCUGAGAAGCACUGAGUUGCUCGUUCUACCUCUUCUAAAUUGAACAUGAAGCUCUCAAGAAAUUCCUGAGAGAGUCCACUUUUGCUCUGGCCCACGGCCAAGGGAUCCCACCCAUUGGAAUACUCUAGGCUGAUGAGUGGAGAGGCAUUCUUCCUACAAACUUCCUUGACCUGGUCAGUACUAAGCCGACCAUCUGAAGUAUCAAAUGCACUUCCAAUUUUCUGUUUCUGGCGACGGUACCAUGUGAAUGUGAAAAGUCCAGUGACAGUUAAUACAAUAAAAACUCCAAUUACACUAAAUAUCACACCAUACUGUGGACUUUUGGAUGAAUUUGAACAGUGAAUUUGGCUGCAAUUAGAAGGUAAGUUUGCAGAUUCUGGGAUAUCCUUUUGCAAUGCACCACUAGGUUUGGAAGGCUCAGGUCUAUCUGGGUUUAGAUGAUCACAUGUUUCCAAGUUAGGAAACUCGACUCCACAUAACUUAGGGUUGUUGUCAUACUGGAAUCCACUAUUCAGUCUCUUCAAAGCUGGAGGCACAUCCCCAGAGAGGCUGUUGUUUCGAAUGUCUAGAACUUGUAGCAUAGGAGCAUUAGCUAAUUUUACUGGAAUUGAACCAAAAAGACCAUUAAAGCUCAAAUCCAGCCUUGUUAACAAUCCUAAAUCACCCAAGCUUGCAGGUAUUGCACCAGUUAACUGAUUAUAUUGUAGAGCAAGGACGUUAAGCUUCUUCAGAGAACCCAGUUGUGUUGGUAAACUCCCAGUCAACUUAUUGUAACACAGCUGCAAAACUGAAAACAAAGAGAUCCAGAUUGAGGCUCGUUUCAAAAAAUUUUCCAUUUGUCUACAGUUAUAGUCUUCAAAAUGACAAUGUUGUACAGCAGGUCUGCUAAACUAUGAACACACACAUCUAUAAAUAUAUAUUUCUUUUUAAAUGAAGCUCUCAAUAGAUCAUUCCUUUUUGGUAGUGCAAGAACACAGAUCCCAUAACGCUUAGCUCAAAAGAUUGACUCAACGUUAAGCAACAACAAUGAAGUCUAAAAUUAAAAUAUAGUAAAACAAAAGGGAGUCCAUGGACGACUGUCCAAGUAAUAAUUAGGCAUCUAUUCAACUAAUCAUUCAGGUAGACAUGGAAGAACUUUUCUUUUCUUCUUCAGCCAUUGAUGAAGGUGAAUUUGAUAAUGUUGUUGAGCGUAAAUAAUAAACCACCAAGAAUCUUGAAGAUUAGACAUGUUGCCAAUCUGAAAUGGAAUCUCCCCAGACAAAUUAUUCACAUUGAGAUACAAAUCACUUAGCUCAGUCAGCUCAGCUAUCUCUUUCGGUAUUUCUCCAAUAAGAGCAUUGAAAUGCAGAUACAAACCAGUUAAGCUCUUGAGCCCACCUACAGCCGGAGGUAUCUCGCCGGAGAGACCCUUGCCCUGAAGAGAAAUAUUAGCCACACGGCCUUGCUCAUUGCAAGCUACGCCCUCAAAAGACCCAGCACAUGGGUCAGUGUUGGGUUCCCAGGAGGUCAAGAACCGGUUAAGUGGAUCGAGGGAGGCCUUGAUUUGCAUGAGGAGUUGGAGUUCUGCAGGCGAGGAGAAAAUUGGUGAGACAAAGAGGAAGAGAGAUGAGAGAUAGAAGAGGAGAUGAUGCAUGUUUGGGUUGAAAGAAAGUGCAGGAAAGUGAAGGAAACUAUGUGGGUUUCCGAAGUUAAGAAGGCAGAAGAGAGAUGAAAAGAAAGGGAUUCUAAACUUAGUUCAUUGGCAAGCGUUCAUAGUCGAGAGAGAAGGUAGAAGUAACUGGUCACACUCACUCGUGCACUCG